RNAcentral lists this transfer RNA (72 nucleotides) under Ictidomys tridecemlineatus (thirteen-lined ground squirrel). Its description in RNAcentral is "Spermophilus tridecemlineatus (thirteen-lined ground squirrel) tRNA". It matches the Rfam family "tRNA". Rfam says of the family: Transfer RNA (tRNA) molecules are approximately 80 nucleotides in length. Their secondary structure includes four short double-helical elements and three loops (D, anti-codon, and T loops). Lineage: Eukaryota; Metazoa; Chordata; Mammalia; Rodentia; Sciuridae. The record is from Rfam by way of RNAcentral.
GGGGGUGUAGUUCAGUGGUAGAGGAUGAGGUUGAAAUGCACAAGGUCCUGGGUUCAACUCCCAGCACCUCAA